AGUGACCAAGAUUGAGGCAAAAGAAUGCGUCCCAUGUUUUCGACAGCUUCGACUUGAUAUACUCCAUCUGAACCAACUCUGGCUCAGACUCAAGAGUAGGGGGCCUAUGUUGGGGGUGAUUUCAUACAAACCAAAGACAUAAGCAAAUGAAUUCGGAUCCGAUCCUCGACUGAUCUAAGAUUUUUUUUAUCAGAUCCGACCUGAUCUGAAAAUUCUAUACAUCUUUCAAAAUUUAAAUGGUCAUGAUCUAAUAGGCAAUGACAGGCA
This 267-nucleotide long non-coding RNA is filed under the name Elaeis guineensis (African oil palm). RNAcentral describes it as "long non-coding RNA (EGUI_LNC014230)". The record is from RNAcentral. Lineage: Eukaryota; Viridiplantae; Streptophyta; Magnoliopsida; Arecales; Arecaceae.